This 198-nucleotide ribosomal RNA is filed under the name uncultured bacterium. RNAcentral describes it as "partial 16S ribosomal RNA". It matches the Rfam family "Bacterial small subunit ribosomal RNA", at positions 328 to 539 of the family's 1533-position model. The record is from RNAcentral.
ACGCUCGACACCUACGGGAGCAGCAGUGGGGAAUAUUGCACAAUGGGGGAAACCCUGAUGCAGCGACGCCGCGUGGAGGAAGAAGGUCUUCGGAUUGUAAACUCCUGUUGUUGGGGAAAAAGAGGAUGGUACCCAACAAGGAAGUGACGGCUAACUACGUGCCANCAGCCGCGGUAAUCUGAGGCGGGCUGGCAAGGC